GUCAGGACCGCGACGGCAGCAGAGCAUGUCUAGACAACUUCUGAGCCAAAGAGGAACACUUACCAGAGAUGAUGCCAAUGGCGACGUACAUAUGAGAAACCUCUUGUGAGAAGGAGGCGGCCACCAUCCCGGUGCUGACAAGUAGCCCCCCCAACAUCACCACCAGACGGUGUCCGAAACGAUUGCUCAGGACUGUGGCGAGGGGAGCUGCCGGGAAAGAACAAAAUGAUAUUUUAACUCACAGAGGCUUCAGGGUUAGCUGCCAUAAGACUCCUUCCUCCACAUCUUGCACAUGGAGAAAUGAUGUCAAAUACAAAUAUGGCCGAGCACAGUGGCUCAUGCCUGUAAUCCCAGCACUUUGGGAGGUUGAGGACGGAGGAUCGCUUGAGCCCAGGAGUUCAAGACCAGCCUGGGCAACAUGGUGAAACCCCGUCUCUACAAAAAAUACAAAAAUUAGCCAGGCAUGGUGGUGUGCACCUGUAGUCCCAGCUACUUGGCAGGCAGAGAUGGGAGGAUUGUUUGAGCCUGGGAGGCAGACGAUGCAGCGAGCCAAGAUUGCACCACUGCACUCCAUACUGGGUGACAGAGUGAGACCCUGUCUCAAGAAAAAACAAAACCAAACCAUAACACAUUUCAUGCAAAGUCAGUGCAGGAAUUAUUUUACUGUUUGUUCAAAUUCAACACGAUUUGUCAGACUCCUG
This 701-nucleotide small RNA is filed under the name Pan troglodytes (chimpanzee). RNAcentral's name for it is "processed transcript". The record is from RNAcentral. Lineage: Eukaryota; Metazoa; Chordata; Mammalia; Primates; Hominidae.